Molecule: ribosomal RNA, 632 nt
Filed under: Salmonella enterica subsp. enterica
Lineage: Bacteria; Pseudomonadati; Pseudomonadota; Gammaproteobacteria; Enterobacterales; Enterobacteriaceae
Description: bacterial SSU rRNA
Rfam family: Bacterial small subunit ribosomal RNA
Source: RNAcentral
AAACUGCCUGAUGGAGGGGGAUAACUACUGGAAACGGUGGCUAAUACCGCAUAACGUCGCAAGACCAAAGAGGGGGACCUUCGGGCCUCUUGCCAUCAGAUGUGCCCAGAUGGGAUUAGCUUGUUGGUGAGGUAACGGCUCACCAAGGCGACGAUCCCUAGCUGGUCUGAGAGGAUGACCAGCCACACUGGAACUGAGACACGGUCCAGACUCCUACGGGAGGCAGCAGUGGGGAAUAUUGCACAAUGGGCGCAAGCCUGAUGCAGCCAUGCCGCGUGUAUGAAGAAGGCCUUCGGGUUGUAAAGUACUUUCAGCGGGGAGGAAGGUGUUGUGGUUAAUAACCGCAGCAAUUGACGUUACCCGCAGAAGAAGCACCGGCUAACUCCGUGCCAGCAGCCGCGGUAAUACGGAGGGUGCAAGCGUUAAUCGGAAUUACUGGGCGUAAAGCGCACGCAGGCGGUCUGUCAAGUCGGAUGUGAAAUCCCCGGGCUCAACCUGGGAACUGCAUUCGAAACUGGCAGGCUUGAGUCUUGUAGAGGGGGGUAGAAUUCCAGGUGUAGCGGUGAAAUGCGUAGAGAUCUGGAGGAAUACCGGUGGCGAAGGCGGCCCCCUGGACAAAGACUGACGCUCAG